Molecule: long non-coding RNA, 1356 nt
Organism: Brassica oleracea var. oleracea
Lineage: Eukaryota; Viridiplantae; Streptophyta; Magnoliopsida; Brassicales; Brassicaceae
Exons: 3
Source: RefSeq, a predicted model, not a curated record
AAACCCUCUCUAGCUUCCCUAGUAUUCUCCGUGCUCCUCUUCCCUUCUCCUCUCUCCCUCAAUAAUAUCUCUCUUGCCCUAGCUUCUUCUUCUUCUUCUUCUUCUUCACGAUCCGCUUCACAUCAUGCAUCCACACGAUUCACGGUUUUUCUCCUGACGGUUACCAUUGAUUUUUCAGUGGGAUCUCGUGAAGGAAAAUUCGCCAUUUCUCUAAAGUUCUUAAAGGAGUGGAGUCACUUCCUAAGCUUCGAUUACUUCGUCGAUUAGUGAAAGAUGAUGGAUUGCUUCUUUUGGUUUGCAUGUGCAGAACGAUGCCCAUGGGAAGAGAGAUUAUCUCUCAAUCUUUAACGGAUCUGUAUCCUCUUCUCAGUGCUACAUUAUAGAUUUGGGGGCUGCCGUGGUUGACUAAACUGAAGACUGGCGCAGGUUCCCUCGAGUUGUCUUUCAUGUCUAGACCAUUUGUGAGAAGGGAUUUUUUGUUUGCACCGUUCACCCCACUUUCAAUCUGUAGUGAGUAUUAAGGAAAAUAGCUUGUUCAACAUAUCACACUACUCUUUUAGAAACAAUACUAUAUUUUAGAUGCUUUUCCAGCUUGAUAUACGUUGUUUUGUUAUGUAUAUCUGUAUUAUCCCGGCUACCAAAACGUUAAGAAAUAAGGUGAACAUCCUAAAACCUGCAUCCAAUUAGAAAGGUCUAGGUCACAGAUAUUACUUGUUAUCUCUUGAUUAAGCUAUUUUAUUUCUAUCAGCAUGAUCAGAUCAUUCAGGAGUUAAGUAUAAACUAAAAUACAUUAAGUCCAUUCAUGACAUUUCUGGAUGCUGCAUACAUAAUAUUUUCCUUGUUUUUGGACUAUGCCACACUUCGGACAGACAUUUUGCCUAAGAGAUGUCAAACCUCUGUCUGGAGUGUUAGAGGUAUUUCAUGAUAGCUAAGAACUUGAAUCUUGCACUACUUAGCUACACUAGAUUACUUCAUAGUAAAUAACUUGGGGAGUGGGGGAAGGUGCUGGGUUAUUAUUCCCUUCUCAUCGAUGGUCUAGAUGUGCGAGGUGACUCUCAUUGAGGUAAAAGAGAUACGGUGACUGUGGGAAGCAUUCACCAUAAUGGUAUUUCUUAAAAAGGUUAGAGAUUUUCAACUUGUGACAUUAUCGUAAUAUUGCUUGAUUUUGAAUCAGUGAUCUGCUAAUGCAACACUUGUGAUACUUCCGAGUAUAGCUAUGUGAAGUUUUUUUCUUCAGGUUUGAGUACACCACACCAUUAUUCAAACUAAACGUAAACGAUGAAUACAGAAGCAUGUAGCAAUAACUCUGUUGUCAGGUCCUUUGCAAAAACUGAAGAAGUGCAAGAGCUAAGGAAG